Molecule: ribosomal RNA, 465 nt
Filed under: uncultured bacterium
Lineage: Bacteria
Description: partial 16S ribosomal RNA
Rfam family: Bacterial small subunit ribosomal RNA
Source: RNAcentral
CCUACGGGGUGCUGCAGUAGGGAAUCUUCCACAAUGGGCGAAAGCCUGAUGGAGCAACGCCGCGUGGGUGAAGAAGGUCUUCGGAUCGUAAAACCCUGUUGUUAGAGAAGAAAGUGCGUGAGAGUAACUGUUCACGUUUCGACGGUAUCUAACCAGAAAGCCACGGCUAACUACGUGCCAGCAGCCGCGGUAAUACGUAGGUGGCAAGCGUUAUCCGGAUUUAUUGGGCGUAAAGGGAACGCAGGCGGUCUUUUAAGUCUGAUGUGAAAGCCUUCGGCUUAACCGGAGUAGUGCAUUGGAAACUGGGAGACUGGAGUGCAGAAGAGGAGAGUGGAACUCCAUGUGUAGCGGUGAAAUGCGUAGAUAUAUGGAAGAACACCAGUGGCGAAAGCGGCUCUCUGGUCUGUAACUGACGCUGAGGUUCGAAAGCGUGGGUAGCAAACAGGAUUAGAUACCCUAGUAGUC